RNAcentral lists this long non-coding RNA (1391 nucleotides) under Calidris pygmaea (Spoon-billed sandpiper). RNAcentral's name for it is "lncRNA (ENSCPGG00000005144.1)". Lineage: Eukaryota; Metazoa; Chordata; Aves; Charadriiformes; Scolopacidae. The record is from RNAcentral.
GGGACCAAAAUCAAGGGGUUUGUACCAAAGUCAAGGGGUUUGGUACCAAAAUGAAACAGUUUGGUAUCAAAAUCAAGGGAUUUGGUACCAAAAUCAAGAGGGCUCUUACCAAAAUCAAUAGAUUUGGAAUCAGAAUCAAGGGGUUUGUACCAAAAUCAAGGGGUUUGGUACCAAAAUCAAGGGAUUUGGUACCAAAAUCAAGGGGGUUGGGACCAAAAUCAAGGGGGGUUGGCACAAAAAUCAAGGGAUUUGGUACCAAAAUCAAGAGGGCUCUUACCAAAGUCAAUAGAUUUGGAAUCAGAAUCAAGGGAUUUGGUACCAAAAUCAAGAGGGCUCUUACCAAAAUCAAUAGAUUUGGAAUCAGAAUCAAGGGGUUUGUACCAAGAUCAAGGGGUUUGGUAUCAAAAUCAAGGGAUUUGGUACCACAAUCAAGGGGGUUGGGACCAAAAUCAAGGGGGUUGGGACCAAAAUCAAGAGGGCUCGUACCAAAAUCAACAGGUUUGGAAUCAGAAUCAAGGGGUUUGGCACCAAAAUCAGGGGGUUUGGCACCAAACCCAAGCGAUAUGAUAUCAAAAUCAAAUGAUAUGAUACCAAAAUCAAGGGGUUUGGUACCAAAAUCAAGGGGGUUGGUAUCAAAAUCAAGGGGGUUGGGACCAAAAUUAAGGGGGUUUGUACCAAAAUCAACAGGUUUGGAAUCAGAAUCAAGGAGUUUAGUACCAAAAACAGGGGGUUUGGCACAAAAAUCAAGGGAUUUGGGACCNUCAAGGGGUUUGGGACCAAAAUCAAGGGGUUUGUACCAAAGUCAAGGGGUUUGGUACCAAAAUGAAACAGUUUGGUAUCAAAAUCAGGGGGUCUGGUACCAAAAUCAAGGGGGGUUGGCACAAAAAUCAAGGGAUUUGGUACCAAAAUCAAGGGGUUUGUACCAAAAUCAGGGGGUUUGGUACCAAAAUCAGAGGGUUUAUACCAAAAUCAGGUGGUUUGGUAUCAAAAUAAGGGGGGGAGUUGAACUAAAAUUAAGGGGAUUUGGUACCAAAAUCAAGGGGUUUGGUCCCAAAAUCCAGGGGUUUGAUACCAAAAUUAGGGGGUUUGUUACCAAAAAUCAGGUGUGGGGUUUUUUUAACCAAAAUUAGUGGGUUUGGUAGCAAAGUGAGAGGGUUUGUCCCAAAAUGAAGGCCUUGGGGAUCCAAAGGAAGGGGAUUUUUAUCAAAAUGAGGGGGUUUGGUCCCAAAAUCAAGGGGUUUGGUCCCAAAAUCCAGGGGUUUGAUACCAAAAUCAGGGGGUUUGUUACCAAAAAUCGGGUGUUUUUUUUUUUUUUAACCAAAAUUAGUGGGUUUGGUACCAAAGUGAGGGGGGUCUCUCUCAAAAUGGGGACAAAUGAAGGGGAUUUUUAC